Equus asinus (donkey) is the source of this 1875-nucleotide long non-coding RNA. The record is from Ensembl. NCBI's taxonomy places the organism in Eukaryota, Metazoa, Chordata, Mammalia, Perissodactyla, Equidae.
CUGGGUAUGAUUGUCUCAACACACGGAAAUGUUUUAAGAAAAUAUAGUACAAAAUAAUUAUGUGGGUCUGUUAAAGGACUAGAAACAAAUAUCAAAGUUGAGUAUCAUAAUUUAUAUUUUUUUUGCAGGGAGAGUAAUUCGCCACACUGGCAUGGAUACCUCAUGAGUGUCCACUUAGAAAUAAGAAUUUCUUGACAGGUUCUGGCUCUAGGAGAUUUUUAUUCUGUAGAAAGAUUGUCAUCACACACUUCCUACAUAGGCCUGAUCCUAUGACAACAUAAAGAGACAGCAAGAUCAGUAGAAAGUAAAACUCAGGUUUUAAUUCUGCCACUGCAGCAUCCGGAGUCCUCAGUCACCUCCCUGAUACCAAGGUGGUAGAAUGAACCAGGGUUUCUCAACCUCAGCACUGCUGACACUUUGAGUUGAAUAAUUCUUCAUUUCAGGCAGAUGCCCUGUGCAUUGUGGGAUGUUUAGUAGCAUCCUUGGACUCUAGCCACCAGAUGCCAGAAGUCACCACCCCUUCUCCAGUGUGCCAACCGAAGAGGUCUCCAGACAUUGCCAAAUGUCCUCUAACGGACAAAAUCACCCCCAGUUGAGGACCACUGGGCUUGGUUCCUUGAGGCUGUCCCUUCUGGCUCUAAAAUGUUACACUUCAAUAUACCAUUUGAGCAACAGAUAUAAUUUUCUCAGAGCCCAGGUAAACACUAACAUAUGAGAAAUCAGCAAAGGCCAGGCCAAUAGCUCUGGUCACUUUUUUGUGGGCAUUCAACUGCUAUCUAAGGAAAAGAGGAGCAUUCAGAGGAACAGCAGAGGAAAUUGAUGAUGCUUUGACCAGAUGACAUUAUUGUGAGAAUGGAGCAAGUGGCCAUGGAUAAUGACUAAGACUCAGGAGAAAUUUAAAGUAUUGUUGAGAUCAACCAAGCACACACACGCUUGAUCUCAUUAGACUGAGUCUCGACUCCCAAUAAAUUGGGAAUUUCCAGCCAUACAUUGCAUUAUAAGAGGCUGGGGAUUCCUAUCCAUACAAUAUCCAGAGGGCAGGGAUGCAAGAAUAUAAUGUGUUUUUAAAUUAUGCAAGUGGAAAAAUGGCAUACAAUCUGCCAUAAGGUGUGUUCCCAAGAAGCAAAGAUUUAGAAGGGAUUGAAUGUGGUGAUUUAUUGUGGGAGUGUUCUCUGGACAGAGAGAAUGAAGGAAGCAGGCUACGGCAGGGGAAGAUGCUAAGCAAGGAUGCGGGCUGAGCGAGAGUCUGGUUUCAGCCUUAUCCCUCAAGCAGUCUGAUGCAAGAAUUGCAAAACCACCAGAGGUGGUCACACCUUAAGGCAGGGGUCCAUUCUUCUGUACCUGGUGACAGUAAGUUACUGUAGUCUAUGGGCUGCCCCAACGGGUGAGGGGUGCAUAGGGCGUAUAACCUCCGGAUGAUGUGACUUCUCUUUUAGCUGAGGGCAAUUCUCCAGAUCACAGGCAGCAGUUAUGAGCUGUUAACAGCCAACACUUAGAGAAACUGGGAACUCAUAACCCAGUAAAAGGAUUUCCAACUGUCUCUACUACAAGUAAAGUGUCUUGCAAAUUGCAAUAAGAAUGUCGGUUGUUGUCAUAAUCAGACCAGAUUAAACAGCAUGGAUUAUAAACGAGAAGGACUAUCUCCUCCCAGCCUUCUGAUAAAGGCCUAUGAAGACAGCUGGGUAGCCUGGUGGGCCCUUCGCCCAACCUCAUCUGUGCCACUUAGUCAGCCAUGAGGGGCUGAGAGCCACCCUCCUCCCCAGCCCAGUGUGCUGGGAAAAUCACAUUUGUGCCAAAAUAUGAUAAUAUGAGCUGAUCUCACCUGAUUUAAGACCUCUGCGUGCUGCCAGUUCCCCACCCCCACCCCCCCCCCCA